Panicum virgatum (switchgrass) is the source of this 490-nucleotide long non-coding RNA. RefSeq lists it as uncharacterized. The transcript has 2 exons. Lineage: Eukaryota; Viridiplantae; Streptophyta; Magnoliopsida; Poales; Poaceae. The record is from RefSeq and is a predicted model, not a curated record.
GCGCGGGCAAUCGAGGCGAGCCGGUGGCGGCGCGGCACGGCACGCUACGGGCGACGGCCGGCGCGGCGCGGUGCGGCCUCACUGGCGUCUCGGUGCAUCUCCACCACCGACCUUCCUCCUUCUCGCCGGUGCUCAUGGCCAAGGUUUGAAGGAGUGAGAAACAAGUUGAAGUUAUGAUCAUCAUCAUCUCUACUUAGGACUAAAUUAUAUGUAGUACUCCCUCUGUUUUUCUUUUCUUGACGUUAAGACAUCAUCCCUUAGUUCAUUUUUAGUUCAUUUCAAAUGUCUGAUAACAUUUUAUGACCGGAGGGAGUAAUUUGUACUGUACUUUGUUUGGGAGCCCAGAAAUGGUUUAGAAUUCUGGUUUCGAUACAAAACCAUUCGGCUAUUGUAUAUUAUUCUGGUUCUGGGAGUCCAGAAAUGCAUAUUAUUUUAUUCUAUUGUUUGAAAUGUAAUUAGGCUAUUACAUAUUGUUAGCCUAUUGAUUUUA